Molecule: ribosomal RNA, 120 nt
Filed under: Muribaculaceae bacterium
Lineage: Bacteria; Pseudomonadati; Bacteroidota; Bacteroidia; Bacteroidales; Muribaculaceae
Source: RNAcentral
UUUUGUGAUGACAGCGCAAGGCUCCACCUCUUCACCUUUUUGCCCUUUGGCCGAACAGAGAAGUUAAACCUUGCCACGCCGAUGGUACUGCGAAAGCGGGAGAGUAGGUAAUCGCCACCU